GGUCAAGUGAAGAAGCGCAUACGGUGGAUGCCUUGGCAGUCAGAGGCGAUGAAAGACGUGGUAGCCUGCGAAAAGCUUCGGGGAGUCGGCAAACAGACUUUGAUCCGGAGAUCUCUGAAUGGGGGAACCCACCUAGGAUAACCUAGGUAUCUUGUACUGAAUCCAUAGGUGCAAGAGGCGAACCAGGGGAACUGAAACAUCUAAGUACCCUGAGGAAAAGAAAUCAACCGAGAUUCCCUUAGUAGUGGCGAGCGAACGGGGAUUAGCCCUUAAGCUUCAUUGAUUUUAGCGGAACGCUCUGGAAAGUGCGGCCAUAGUGGGUGAUAGCCCCGUACGCGAAAGGAUCUUUGAAGUGAAAUCGAGUAGGACGGAGCACGAGAAACUUUGUCUGAACAUGGGGGGACCAUCCUCCAAGGCUAAAUACUACUGACUGACCGAUAGUGAACCAGUACCGUGAGGGAAAGGCGAAAAGAACCCCGGAGAGGGGAGUGAAAUAGAACCUGAAACCGUAUGCGUACAAGCAGUGGGAGCCUACUUGUUAGGUGACUGCGUACCUUUUGUAUAAUGGGUCAGCGACUUAUAUUCAGUGGCAAGCUUAACCGUAUAGGGUAGGCGUAGCGAAAGCGAGUCUUAAUAGGGCGUUUAGUCGCUGGGUAUAGACCCGAAACCGGGCGAUCUAUCCAUGAGCAGGUUGAAGGUUAGGUAACACUGACUGGAGGACCGAACCCACUCCCGUUGAAAAGGUAGGGGAUGACUUGUGGAUCGGAGUGAAAGGCUAAUCAAGCUCGGAGAUAGCUGGUUCUCCUCGAAAGCUAUUUAGGUAGCGCCUCAUGUAUCACUCUGGGGGGUAGAGCACUGUUUCGGCUAGGGGGUCAUCCCGACUUACCAAACCGAUGCAAACUCCGAAUACCCAGAAGUGCCGAGCAUGGGAGACACACGGCGGGUGCUAACGUCCGUCGUGAAAAGGGAAACAACCCAGACCGCCAGCUAAGGUCCCAAAGUUGUGGUUAAGUGGUAAACGAUGUGGGAAGGCUUAGACAGCUAGGAGGUUGGCUUAGAAGCAGCCAUCCUUUAAAGAAAGCGUAAUAGCUCACUAGUCGAGUCGGCCUGCGCGGAAGAUGUAACGGGGCUCAAACCACACACCGAAGCUGCGGGUGUCACGCAAGUGACGCGGUAGAGGAGCGUUCUGUAAGCCUGUGAAGGUGAGUUGAGAAGCUUGCUGGAGGUAUCAGAAGUGCGAAUGCUGACAUGAGUAACGACAAUGGGUGUGAAAAACACCCACGCCGAAAGACCAAGGGUUCCUGCGCAACGUUAAUCGACGCAGGGUUAGUCGGUUCCUAAGGCGAGGCUGAAAAGCGUAGUCGAUGGGAAACAGGUUAAUAUUCCUGUACUUCUGGUUACUGCGAUGGAGGGACGGAGAAGGCUAGGCCAGCUUGGCGUUGGUUGUCCAAGUUUAAGGUGGUAGGCUGAAAUCUUAGGUAAAUCCGGGGUUUCAAGGCCGAGAGCUGAUGACGAGU
RNAcentral lists this ribosomal RNA (1517 nucleotides) under Pseudomonas aeruginosa. RNAcentral describes it as "partial 23S ribosomal RNA". It matches the Rfam family "Bacterial large subunit ribosomal RNA", at positions 1 to 1574 of the family's 2925-position model. Lineage: Bacteria; Pseudomonadati; Pseudomonadota; Gammaproteobacteria; Pseudomonadales; Pseudomonadaceae. The record is from RNAcentral.